Molecule: transfer RNA, 70 nt
Filed under: Ctenophorus caudicinctus caudicinctus
Lineage: Eukaryota; Metazoa; Chordata; Lepidosauria; Squamata; Agamidae
Description: tRNA-Tyr
Rfam family: tRNA
About the family: Transfer RNA (tRNA) molecules are approximately 80 nucleotides in length. Their secondary structure includes four short double-helical elements and three loops (D, anti-codon, and T loops). Further hydrogen bonds mediate the characteristic L-shaped molecular structure. tRNAs have two regions of fundamental functional importance: the anti-codon, which is responsible for specific mRNA codon recognition, and the 3' end, to which the tRNAs corresponding amino acid is attached (by aminoacyl-tRNA synthetases). tRNAs cope with the degeneracy of the genetic code in two manners: having more than one tRNA (with a specific anti-codon) for a particular amino acid; and 'wobble' base-pairing, i.e. permitting non-standard base-pairing at the 3rd anti-codon position.
Source: RNAcentral
UUGUAAAGGUGGCUGAAGUAUAGGUGGUGGAUUGUAAUUCCAUUUAUGGGGUUUGAGUCCCUUCUUUACA